Molecule: ribosomal RNA, 494 nt
Filed under: uncultured bacterium
Lineage: Bacteria
Description: partial 16S ribosomal RNA
Rfam family: Bacterial small subunit ribosomal RNA
Source: RNAcentral
UGAACGCUGGCGGCGUGCCUAAUACAUGCAAGUCGAGCGAACAGACGAGGAGCUUGCUCCUCUGACGUUAGCGGCGGACGGGUGAGUAACACGUGGAUAACCUACCUAUAAGACUGGGAUAACUUCGGGAAACCGGAGCUAAUACCGGAUAAUAUAUUGAACCGCAUGGUUCAAUAGUGAAAGACGGUUUUGCUGUCACUUAUAGAUGGAUCCGCGCCGCAUUAGCUAGUUGGUAAGGUAACGGCUUACCAAGGCAACGAUGCGUAGCCGACCUGAGAGGGUGAUCGGCCACACUGGAACUGAGACACGGUCCAGACUCCUACGGGAGGCAGCAGUAGGGAAUCUUCCGCAAUGGGCGAAAGCUUGACGGAGCAACGCCGCGUGAGUGAUGAAGGUCUUCGGAUCGUAAAACUCUGUUAUUAGGGAAGAACAAAUGUGUAAGUAACUAUGCACGUCUUGACGGUACCUAAGCAGAAAGCCACGGCUAACUACGU